UGAUCGUGGUGUUUUCUGAAA
Caenorhabditis elegans is the source of this 21-nucleotide non-coding RNA. Lineage: Eukaryota; Metazoa; Nematoda; Chromadorea; Rhabditida; Rhabditidae. The record is from Ensembl.